GACGAACGCUGGCGGCGUGCUUAACACAUGCAAGUCGAACGGUAAGGCCCUUCGGGGUACACGAGUGGCGAACGGGUGAGUAACACGUGGGUGAUCUGCCCUGCACUUCGGGAUAAGCCUGGGAAACUGGGUCUAAUACCGGAUAGGACCACUGCCUGCAUGGGUGGUGGUGGAAGGCUUUUGCGGUGUGGGAUGGGCCCGCGGCCUAUCAGCUUGUUGGUGGGGUGAUGGCCUACCAAGGCGACGACGGGUAGCCGGCCUGAGAGGGUGACCGGCCACACUGGGACUGAGAUACGGCCCAGAUUCCUACGGGAGGCAGCAGUGGGGAAUAUUGCACAAUGGGCGCAAGCCUGAUGCAGCGACGCCGCGUGAGGGAUGACGGCCUUCGGGUUGUAAACCUCUUUCAGUAGGGACGAAGCGCAAGUGACGGUACCUACAGAAGAAGGACCGGCCAACUACGUGCCAGCAGCCGCGGUAA
This 478-nucleotide ribosomal RNA is filed under the name uncultured bacterium. RNAcentral's name for it is "partial 16S ribosomal RNA". It matches the Rfam family "Bacterial small subunit ribosomal RNA", at positions 28 to 523 of the family's 1533-position model. The record is from RNAcentral.